Long non-coding RNA from Ictalurus punctatus (channel catfish), 796 nucleotides. The record is from Ensembl. NCBI's taxonomy places the organism in Eukaryota, Metazoa, Chordata, Actinopteri, Siluriformes, Ictaluridae.
GCUUAAUGGUUAGCACGUUCACCUCACACCUCCAGGGUCGGGGGUUCGAUUCCCACCGUGGCCCUGUGUGUGCGGAGUCUGCAUGUUCUCCCCGUGCUGCGGGGGUUUCCUCCGGGUACUCCGGUUUCCUCCCCCAGUCCAAAGACAUGCAUGGUAGGCUGAUUGGCAUGUCCAAAGUGGUGCCAGUCCAUCGCAGGGCACAAUCACAUACACACUCACACACCCAUUCAUACACUACGGACACUUUGGACAUGCCAAUCAGCCUACCAUGCAUGUCUUUGGACUGGGGGAGGAAACUGGAGUACCUGGAGGAAACCCCCGCAGCACGGGGAGAACAUGCAAACUCCUCACACACAGGGCCACGGUGGGAAUCGAGGCGAACGUGCUAACCACUAAGCCACCGUGCGCCCAAUAUCAUAUAAUUACUUUUAUUAUAACAAUAUUUCCAUUGUUUGGUUUUCCAUCGACCUGGUCCUCUAUACCUCCUUUGUCAGUAUGUCUUCCAAAAUGGUGAGUCAGUUCCCUGCAACCAUUAAUAAAUGGGUUAAUAAAUUAAAUAUUCCAUGUAGGCCUGUAUGUAGUAGAUGUACCAUAUCUCUGCCGUUACAGCCAGCAUCAACUAUUUGUCUUCAUUAGCCAGAGACACUCAUAUAAUCAUUUUUAUUACAAGUAAACAACCAAGGAUGCAUAGUAGGCAAGUGAUAUAAAGGCAGCUUAUAAAGUCAUGGCCUACUGUGAAUCAUGAAGUAGAAACUGCUAGUGUAGACAUUAGCCAUAUCCGGAUGGGAUUAAAUUU